GAUCCUGGCUCAGAUUGAACGCUGGCGGCAUGCCUUACACAUGCAAGUCGAACGGCAGCAUGAUCUAGCUUGCUAGAUUGAUGGCGAGUGGCGAACGGGUGAGUAAUACAUCGGAACGUGCCCUGUAGUGGGGGAUAACUAGUCGAAAGAUUAGCUAAUACCGCAUACGACCUGAGGGUGAAAGUGGGGGACCGCAAGGCCUCAUGCUAUAGGAGCGGCCGAUGU
RNAcentral lists this ribosomal RNA (225 nucleotides) under uncultured bacterium. RNAcentral describes it as "partial 16S ribosomal RNA". It matches the Rfam family "Bacterial small subunit ribosomal RNA", at positions 15 to 236 of the family's 1533-position model. The record is from RNAcentral.